Molecule: ribosomal RNA, 483 nt
Filed under: uncultured bacterium
Lineage: Bacteria
Description: partial 16S ribosomal RNA
Rfam family: Bacterial small subunit ribosomal RNA
Source: RNAcentral
AUUGAACGCUGGCGGCAGGCCUAACACAUGCAAGUCGAGCGGUAGAGAGAAGCUUGCUUCUCUUGAGAGCGGCGGACGGGUGAGUAAUGCCUAGGAAUCUGCCUGGUAGUGGGGGAUAACGUUCGGAAACGGACGCUAAUACCGCAUACGUCCUACGGGAGAAAGCAGGGGACCUUCGGGCCUUGCGCUAUCAGAUGAGCCUAGGUCGGAUUAGCUAGUUGGUGGGGUAAUGGCUCACCAAGGCGACGAUCCGUAACUGGUCUGAGAGGAUGAUCAGUCACACUGGAACUGAGACACGGUCCAGACUCCUACGGGAGGCAGCAGUGGGGAAUAUUGGACAAUGGGCGAAAGCCUGAUCCAGCCAUGCCGCGUGUGUGAAGAAGGUCUGCGGAUUGUAAAGCACUUUAAGUUGGGAGGAAGGGCAGUAAAUUAAUACUUUGCUGUUUUGACGUUACCGACAGAAUAAGCACCGGCGAACUCUGU